Molecule: ribosomal RNA, 912 nt
Filed under: uncultured archaeon
Lineage: Archaea
Description: bacterial SSU rRNA
Rfam family: Archaeal small subunit ribosomal RNA
Source: RNAcentral
AUGCCUGCAGGUCUCUGGUUGAUCCUGCCGGACCCGACUGCUAUCAGAGUGGGCUAAGCCAUGCGAGUUGACGUAGUAAUACGUAGCGAACGGCUCAGUAACACGUAGUCAACAUGCCCAGGGGACGUGGAUAACCUCGGGAAACUGAGAAUAAACCGCGAUAGGUCACAAUUUCUGGAAUGGAUUUUGGCUUAAAUCUACAUGGCCCCUGGAUUGGACUGCGGCCGAUCAGGCUGUUGGUGAGGUAAUGGCCCACCAAACCUGUAACCGGUACGGGCUCUGAGAGGAGGAGCCCGGAGAUGGGCACUGAGACAAGGGCCCAGGCCCUAUGGGGCGCAGCAGGCGCGAAACCUCUGCAAUGGGCGAAAGCCUGACAGGGUUACUCUGAGUGAUUUCCGCUAAGGAGAUCUUUUGGCAGCUCUAAAAAUGGUGCAGAAUAAGGGGUGGGCAAGUCUGGUGUCAGCCGCCGCGGUAAUACCAGCACCCCGAGUGGUCGGGACGAUUAUUGGGCCUAAAGCAUCCGUAGCCGGUUGUGCAAGUCCUCCGUUAAAUCCAGCCGCUCAACGGAUGGGCUGCGGAGGAUACUACAGGACUAGGAGGCGGGAGAGGCAAGCGGUACUUAGUGGGUAGGGGUAAAAUCCUUUGAUCCAUUGAAGACCACCAGUGGCGAAGGCGGCUUGCCAGAACGCGCUCGACGGUGAGGGAUGAAAGCUGGGGGAGCAAACCGGAUUAGAUACCCGGGUAGUCCCAGCUGUAAACGAUGCAGACUCGGUGAUGGGCUAGCCUCGUGUCAGCCCAGUGCCGCAGGGAAGCCGUUAAGUCUGCCGCCUGGGGAGUACGGUCGCAAGACUGAAACUUAAAGGAAUUGGCGGGGGAGCACCACAGGGGGUGAAGCCUGCGGUUCAAUUGGAA